This 484-nucleotide ribosomal RNA is filed under the name Flavobacterium sp. BF.69. RNAcentral's name for it is "bacterial SSU rRNA". It matches the Rfam family "Bacterial small subunit ribosomal RNA", at positions 17 to 500 of the family's 1533-position model. The record is from RNAcentral. Lineage: Bacteria; Pseudomonadati; Bacteroidota; Flavobacteriia; Flavobacteriales; Flavobacteriaceae.
CCCUGGCUCAGGAUGAACGCUAGCGGCAGGCUUAACACAUGCAAGUCGAGGGGUAUAGGUUUUCGGACCAAGAGACCGGCGCACGGGUGCGUAACGCGUAUGCAAUCUACCUUUUGCAGAGGGAUAGCCCAGAGAAAUUUGGAUUAAUACCUCAUAGUAUAGCAGUUUCGCAUGAAACCACUAUUAAAGUCACAACGGCAAAAGAUGAGCAUGCGUCCCAUUAGCUAGUUGGUAAGGUAACGGCUUACCAAGGCUACGAUGGGUAGGGGUCCUGAGAGGGAGAUCCCCCACACUGGUACUGAGACACGGACCAGACUCCUACGGGAGGCAGCAGUGAGGAAUAUUGGACAAUGGGCGCAAGCCUGAUCCAGCCAUGCCGCGUGCAGGAUGACGGUCCUAUGGAUUGUAAACUGCUUUUGUACAGGAAGAAACACUUCCCUUCGUGAGGGAGCUUGACGGUACUGUAAGAAUAAGGAUCGGCUAA